This is a ribosomal RNA of Citrobacter koseri ATCC BAA-895, 1542 nucleotides long. It matches the Rfam family "Bacterial small subunit ribosomal RNA". Lineage: Bacteria; Pseudomonadati; Pseudomonadota; Gammaproteobacteria; Enterobacterales; Enterobacteriaceae. The record is from Rfam.
AAAUUGAAGAGUUUGAUCAUGGCUCAGAUUGAACGCUGGCGGCAGGCCUAACACAUGCAAGUCGAACGGUAACAGGAAGCAGCUUGCUGCUUUGCUGACGAGUGGCGGACGGGUGAGUAAUGUCUGGGAAACUGCCUGAUGGAGGGGGAUAACUACUGGAAACGGUAGCUAAUACCGCAUAACGUCGCAAGACCAAAGAGGGGGACCUUCGGGCCUCUUGCCAUCAGAUGUGCCCAGAUGGGAUUAGCUUGUUGGUGGGGUAACGGCUCACCAAGGCGACGAUCCCUAGCUGGUCUGAGAGGAUGACCAGCCACACUGGAACUGAGACACGGUCCAGACUCCUACGGGAGGCAGCAGUGGGGAAUAUUGCACAAUGGGCGCAAGCCUGAUGCAGCCAUGCCGCGUGUAUGAAGAAGGCCUUCGGGUUGUAAAGUACUUUCAGCGGGGAGGAAGGUGUUGUGGUUAAUAACCACAGCAAUUGACGUUACCCGCAGAAGAAGCACCGGCUAACUCCGUGCCAGCAGCCGCGGUAAUACGGAGGGUGCAAGCGUUAAUCGGAAUUACUGGGCGUAAAGCGCACGCAGGCGGUCUGUUAAGUCAGAUGUGAAAUCCCCGGGCUCAACCUGGGAACUGCAUCUGAUACUGGCAGGCUUGAGUCUCGUAGAGGGGGGUAGAAUUCCAGGUGUAGCGGUGAAAUGCGUAGAGAUCUGGAGGAAUACCGGUGGCGAAGGCGGCCCCCUGGACGAAGACUGACGCUCAGGUGCGAAAGCGUGGGGAGCAAACAGGAUUAGAUACCCUGGUAGUCCACGCCGUAAACGAUGUCGACUUGGAGGUUGUGCCCUUGAGGCGUGGCUUCCGGAGCUAACGCGUUAAGUCGACCGCCUGGGGAGUACGGCCGCAAGGUUAAAACUCAAAUGAAUUGACGGGGGCCCGCACAAGCGGUGGAGCAUGUGGUUUAAUUCGAUGCAACGCGAAGAACCUUACCUGGUCUUGACAUCCACGGAAGUUUUCAGAGAUGAGAAUGUGCCUUCGGGAACCGUGAGACAGGUGCUGCAUGGCUGUCGUCAGCUCGUGUUGUGAAAUGUUGGGUUAAGUCCCGCAACGAGCGCAACCCUUAUCCUUUGUUGCCAGCGGUUAGGCCGGGAACUCAAAGGAGACUGCCAGUGAUAAACUGGAGGAAGGUGGGGAUGACGUCAAGUCAUCAUGGCCCUUACGACCAGGGCUACACACGUGCUACAAUGGCAUAUACAAAGAGAAGCGACCUCGCGAGAGCAAGCGGACCUCAUAAAGUAUGUCGUAGUCCGGAUUGGAGUCUGCAACUCGACUCCAUGAAGUCGGAAUCGCUAGUAAUCGUGGAUCAGAAUGCCACGGUGAAUACGUUCCCGGGCCUUGUACACACCGCCCGUCACACCAUGGGAGUGGGUUGCAAAAGAAGUAGGUAGCUUAACCUUCGGGAGGGCGCUUACCACUUUGUGAUUCAUGACUGGGGUGAAGUCGUAACAAGGUAACCGUAGGGGAACCUGCGGUUGGAUCACCUCCUUA